CAGGCCUAACACAUGCAAGUCGAGCGGCAGCGGGAAAGUAGCUUGCUACUUUUGCCGGCGAGCGGCGGACGGGUGAGUAAUGCCUGGGAAAUUGCCCAGUCGAGGGGGAUAACAGUUGGAAACGACUGCUAAUACCGCAUACGCCCUACGGGGGAAAGCAGGGGACCUUCGGGCCUUGCGCGAUUGGAUAUGCCCAGGUGGGAUUAGCUAGUUGGUGAGGUAAUGGCUCACCAAGGCGACGAUCCCUAGCUGGUCUGAGAGGAUGAUCAGCCACACUGGAACUGAGACACGGUCCAGACUCCUACGGGAGGCAGCAGUGGGGAAUAUUGCACAAUGGGGGAAACCCUGAUGCAGCCAUGCCGCGUGUGUGAAGAAGGCCUUCGGGUUGUAAAGCACUUUCAGCGAGGAGGAAAGGUCAGUAGCUAAUACCUGCUGGCUGUGACGUUACUCGCAGAAGAAGCACCGGCUAACUCCGUGCCAGCAG
This 484-nucleotide ribosomal RNA is filed under the name uncultured bacterium. Its description in RNAcentral is "bacterial SSU rRNA". It matches the Rfam family "Bacterial small subunit ribosomal RNA", at positions 43 to 514 of the family's 1533-position model. The record is from RNAcentral.